RNAcentral lists this ribosomal RNA (465 nucleotides) under uncultured bacterium. RNAcentral describes it as "partial 16S ribosomal RNA". It matches the Rfam family "Bacterial small subunit ribosomal RNA", at positions 338 to 795 of the family's 1533-position model. The record is from RNAcentral.
CCUACGGUCGGCUGCAGUGGGGAAUAUUGCGCAAUGGGCGAAAGCCUGACGCAGCGACGCCGCGUGAGGGAUGAAGGUCUUCGGAUCGUAAACCUCUGUCAGCAGGGAAGAACGGUCACUGUGCUAAUCAGCAGUGAAUUGACGGUACCUGCAAAGGAAGCACCGGCUAACUCCGUGCCAGCAGCCGCGGUAAUACGGAGGGUGCGAGCGUUAAUCGGAAUUACUGGGCGUAAAGCGCUCGUAGGCGGUAUGUCAAGUCAAGGGUGAAAGCCCCGCGCUCAACGUGGGAACUGCCUUUGAAACUGGCUAGCUGGAGUGUGUGUGAGGAUAGUGGAAUUUCAGGUGUAGGAGUGAAAUGCGUAGAUAUCAGGAGGAACAUCAGUUGCGAAGGCGACUAUCUGGCACAUAACUGACGCUGAGGAGCGAAAGCGUGGGUAGCAAACAGGAUUAGAUACCCUGGUAGUC